Acinonyx jubatus (cheetah) is the source of this 1687-nucleotide long non-coding RNA. RefSeq lists it as uncharacterized. Lineage: Eukaryota; Metazoa; Chordata; Mammalia; Carnivora; Felidae. The record is from RefSeq and is a predicted model, not a curated record. The transcript is spliced from 3 exons.
GCGUGCGGUGAUCCGCUCCUGGAAACAUCCUAGUGGCGCUCUGAGCCAGCCUGCGCGGGGCACGUACCCGACGUCCACCUCAGAGGGGUCGGCGGGGGCAAGAGCGGGUGCGUGAGAGGUGGGGAUGCGCCCCAUGGAGACCGAGCCUAGAAGCAAACAGACACGGCAACACAGAUGGACCUUGCAGACACCGAGCCGGAUGGAAAAAGUAAGGGAAGCAUCUCACUGUACGGGGACAAUGGGUAUUUACAGCAGCCCCGAAAGGCUGCGCGAGCCUCCGAGGCCUUUGGCCCCUGCUAAGGGCAAGUCGGCGGCGUGGAGAACCCUUUCAGCAGCGAGACAUUUAUCGUGGUAGCGUGCUUGGAAAACAGCAAAUCCCCAUUACCUAAGCAGCCACGUUACUGAGCCCAGCACCCGCCCCCCCUCCGUCUGGAAAAUCCCAAGGAUUCUUUGGAACUCCACUGACGGCUGCCUCCUGCCUCCAACUCCUCCAGGCCUGUUUCUGAGCUCCUGCGGCCUGCAAGAAAAGUGCCCAAGGGCAUCAUCAGGAUGCUGAGGUCCCUGCACUGGCUCAGCUUGGCGUGGGCCGGUGCAGACCCGUCACCAUCUGGAUGCAAGAUGACUUCCCGGAGGAUGGGGAAACCCUUUCCCUUUUAAACUUGUUCCAGGGACGCCUGCAGCUGAAGAGGAGGAGUCCACGUGGGUCCCUUCAGGGCCAGGGAUGGCCUGGACACAGAGGGCAGAGAAGCUUUGGUGACACCAGCAUAGGGUGGGGUGUGGAAUCUGUGCCUUGAGCAGAGCCUGCCCUAUCCAAGGCAGAGCCUGAGACAGAGCUUGGGUGCAGGGCUUUAUUUGGGAAGUGGCCUAGGGGUGGGAGUGGGGCUGAGGGUGAUACAGGAGAGCGGGGAGUCCCCACCUUAGGUGCUGGCUGCCCAGGCCCACGAGGUGCUCCAGGAAGCAGUGAUGAUAUCUUAGGAUCAUGUGCCCCCAAACAAGGGGGAGCAAGUUCUUGGCUCUGUGCUGCAGUCCAGAGGUGACCCACAGGGUGACACUUUGGGUUGACACAUGUGAUGUAGAAUGGGUUUCCCAGGAGAAAGCCCAGGGUGGGAGUAGGAAGAGAGACUGGGCGGUGGGGGCGUGCUCCAGGAAUGAGGCACGGUCAGGCAGCCCCAGUGCAGGUGAACCAAGGCUGCGUGGGGCUGGUGACCACAGCUGUGCCUGGAAUAAGAGGUGACCUAAGAGGCUCUCAGAUGUUGCACAAGAUGUGUCCCAUACUGGGGCCCUAUGCUGCUUUAUUUACUAAGAAACAAGAAACGGGCGUCUGGGUGGCUCAGCUCGUUAAGGGUCUGACUCUCCGUUUCAGCUCAGGUCAUGAUGUCACGGUUCGUGAGAUCGAGCCCUGAGCUGGACUGUGUGCUGACAGCGCGGAACCUGCUUGGAAUUCUCUCUCACUCUCUCUGCCCUUCCCCUGCUCGUGCGCACGCUCUCUCCCCCUCUAUCAAAAUAAAUAAACGUAAAAUAAAAAACACUCAAAAAACAAAAACCAACUUGCUCCAUAGUAGAAAAUUUGGAAAAUAUGGACAGUACAAAUAAGGGAAUAAGGAUUAUCUGCCAGUUCCUCUCACCAGAGAGAACCACAGUUAAUGCUUGUGUUUCCUUUCAAUCUUUUUCUCUGAAUCUGCAUGCU